GGAACCUGCGGAAGGAUCAUUGC
This 23-nucleotide ribosomal RNA is filed under the name Aspergillus nomiae. RNAcentral's name for it is "Aspergillus nomius partial 18S ribosomal RNA". The record is from RNAcentral. Lineage: Eukaryota; Fungi; Ascomycota; Eurotiomycetes; Eurotiales; Aspergillaceae.